GGGUAGGGGGCGUGAGAGCGCGACCCCCCAGAGGGGCACUGAUACACGGGCCUCACUCCUACGGGAGGCAGCAAUCUGGAAUAGUCGGCAAUGGGCGAAAGCCCGACCGCGCGACGCCGCGUGGAGGACGAAGCUCUUCGGAGUGUAAACUCACAUCAAAAAGGAGCGGCUAACUUCGUGCCAGCAGCAGCGGUAAUACGGAGGCUUCAAGCGUUGUCCGGAUUUAUUGGGCGUAAAGUGUCUUAAGGCGGUUUGUUAAGUUUCUGGUUAAAUCUCUCGGCCCAACCGAGAAACCGCCAAAAAUACUAACAAACUAGAGAUUAGCAGGGGUAAGCGGAACGCACGGUGUAGUAGUGAAAUGCGUUGAUAUCGUGCGGAACACCAAGGGGGAAGCCAGCUUACUGGGCUUAUACUGACGCUNNNNNNNNNNNNNNNNNNNNNNNNNNNNNNNNNNNGCGCCUGGGAACUACGGCCGCAAGGCUAAAACUCAAAGGAAUUGGCGGGGAGAUGCACAAGCGGUGGAGCAUGUGGUUUAAUUGGAUGAUGACCCAGGAACCUUACCCAGGUUUGACAUGCAGCUGCAAAUCCCGUGAAAGCGGGACUUCUUCGAGAGUGCUGCACAGGUGUUGCAUGGCUGUCGUCAGCUCGUGCCGUGAGGUGUACGGUUAAGUCCGUCAACGAGCGCAACCCCUACUCUGAUUUGUAUCACUAUCAGAGAACUGCCCCUGUAAGGGGGAGGAAGGUGGGGACGACGUCAAGUCGGCAUGGCCCUUAUGCCUGGGGCUACACACAUGCUACAAUGGCCAGUACAACGGGUUGCAACCUCGCGAGAGGUAGCUAAUCUCAUCAAAGCUGGUCUCAAUUCGGAUUGAAGGCUGCAACUCGCCUUCAUGAAGCUGGAAUCGCUAGUAAUCGCCGGUCAGCUAUACGGCGGUGAAUAUGUUCUCAUCUCUUGCACACACCGCCCGUCAAUUGGGGGAAGCUGGAAACACCUGAAGGCUGUGUUUUACACGGACCAAGGUGGAGUCAGUAACCAACAAUAAGUCGUAACAAGGUAGCCGUAGGGGAAUCUGCGGCUGGAUCACCUCCUUUCUAAGGAGUAA
Molecule: ribosomal RNA, 1103 nt
Filed under: candidate division WWE3 bacterium CG10_big_fil_rev_8_21_14_0_10_39_14
Lineage: Bacteria; candidate division WWE3
Description: partial 16S ribosomal RNA
Rfam family: Bacterial small subunit ribosomal RNA
Source: RNAcentral